This 1333-nucleotide ribosomal RNA is filed under the name uncultured bacterium. RNAcentral describes it as "bacterial SSU rRNA". It matches the Rfam family "Bacterial small subunit ribosomal RNA", at positions 28 to 1382 of the family's 1533-position model. The record is from RNAcentral.
GACGAACGCUGGCGGCGCGCCUAACACAUGCAAGUCGAACGAGCAAUGGAGAGCUUGCUUUCCAGAGCGAGUGGCGAACGGGUGAGUAACGCGUGAGGAACCUGCCUCAAAGAGGGGGACAACAGUUGGAAACGACUGCUAAUACCGCAUAAGCCCACGGGUCGGCAUCGACCAGAGGGAAAAGGAGCAAUCCGCUUUGAGAUGGCCUCGCGUCCGAUUAGCUAGUUGGUGAGGUAAUGGCCCACCAAGGCAACGAUCGGUAGCCGGACUGAGAGGUUGAACGGCCACAUUGGGACUGAGACACGGCCCAGACUCCUACGGGAGGCAGCAGUGGGGAAUAUUGCACAAUGGGGGAAACCCCGAUGCAGCGACGCCGCGUGGAGGAAGAAGGUCUUCGGAUUGUAAACUCCUGUUGUUGGGGAAGAUAAUGACGGUACCCAACAAGGAAGUGACGGCUAACUACGUGCCAGCAGCCGCGGUAAAACGUAGGUCACAAGCGUUGUCCGGAAUUACUGGGUGUAAAGGGAGCGCAGGCGGGAAGACAAGUUGGAAGUGAAAUCUAUGGGCUCAACCCAUAAACUGCUUUCAAAACUGUUUUUCUUGAGUAGUGCAGAGGUAGGCGGAAUUCCCGGUGUAGCGGUGGAAUGCGUAGAUAUCGGGAGGAACACCAGUGGCGAAGGCGGCCUACUGGGCACCAACUGACGCUGAGGCUCGAAAGUGUGGGUAGCAAACAGGAUUAGAUACCCUGGUAGUCCACACCGUAAACGAUGAUUACUAGGUGUUGGAGGAUUGACCCCUUCAGUGCCGCAGUUAACACAAUAAGUAAUCCACCUGGGGAGUACGACCGCAAGGUUGAAACUCAAAGGAAUUGACGGGGGCCCGCACAAGCAGUGGAGUAUGUGGUUUAAUUCGACGCAACGCGAAGAACCUUACCAAGUCUUGACAUCCCUUGACAGACAUAGAAAUAUGUUUUCUCUUCGGAGCAAGGAGACAGGUGGUGCAUGGUUGUCGUCAGCUCGUGUCGUGAGAUGUUGGGUUAAGUCCCGCAACGAGCGCAACCCUUACGGUCAGUUACUACGCAAGAGGACUCUGGCCAGACUGCCGUUGACAAAACGGAGGAAGGUGGGGAUGACGUCAAAUCAUCAUGCCCUUUAUGACUUGGGCUACACACGUACUACAAUGGCGUUAAACAAAGAGAAGCAAGACCGCGAGGUGGAGCAAAACUCAGAAACAAUGUCCCAGUUCGGACUGCAGGCUGCAACUCGCCUGCACGAAGUCGGAAUUGCUAGUAAUCGUGGAUCAGCAUGCCACGGUGAAUACGUUCCCGGGCCUU